CAGAGCCGGUCCUAGAUUUUUCAAGGCCACAAGCCCGAAACAAAAAAAAUGGCUGACAUUUUUUCUUACAAAAAUUAUGUACAUAAUGGAGAUUCAAACCCAGGCUCUCACAUAGCUAGGGUGAACAACCAACCACUAGGCCAUCAACAAUUUUAUGAAUUUUGUGGCCGGUUACAAAGUUAAUAAAUUGGUGGCCGCAAUCAGUUGCUUCAUUUGCUUCUAGCAAGGG
Molecule: long non-coding RNA, 229 nt
Filed under: Brassica napus (rape)
Lineage: Eukaryota; Viridiplantae; Streptophyta; Magnoliopsida; Brassicales; Brassicaceae
Description: long non-coding RNA (BNAP_LNC020387)
Source: RNAcentral